This is a long non-coding RNA of Monodelphis domestica (gray short-tailed opossum), 522 nucleotides long. RefSeq lists it as uncharacterized. NCBI's taxonomy places the organism in Eukaryota, Metazoa, Chordata, Mammalia, Didelphimorphia, Didelphidae. The record is from RefSeq and is a predicted model, not a curated record.
GGAAUAUUAGAAUCAUUUUACACAUGUGGAAUUGAGGUUCCCGUAGAUUUGAUUUUGCCUGGUCACAUGGCCCAUAAGUCUUGGAGCUGGGCCUGGAAUCCAGAUUUGCAGACUCCAAGCUAAACUCUUCCCUUGCAAUGGAGGCAUUAAACCAGAGGGAGGCGAUAUACUCACAUACAAGGGAAGGGUUGGCAUAAUGCUCAGUCAGAGAAGAGGCAGAACUCCUACAGUGGUUCCUCAACAAAGCAGAGAAGAAGCCAAGCAGAAUCAUCAGCCUUCGAUUGUCUUUGCUGUUGGCCAUAUGGGUAUCAGGCUGAUUCCAGAAAGUGGAAAAAAUAAAAAAGUUGAAAGCUGCCAGAGAAGCAAGGAAAGAACUGCGAAGGAAAAAAGAAGAGGAAGAGGAACGACUGAAUACUGAAGGCUGAAGACCUUUUGGUAGACAUGAACCUAGAAAAGAUCUGAUUUGAAAAAACUACCACAUUGAUGACCUCCCUGUCUAAUAAAGAAUUGCUUUCCUAUUAA